RNAcentral lists this ribosomal RNA (225 nucleotides) under uncultured bacterium. RNAcentral describes it as "partial 16S ribosomal RNA". It matches the Rfam family "Bacterial small subunit ribosomal RNA", at positions 109 to 334 of the family's 1533-position model. The record is from RNAcentral.
AGUAACGCGUGGGUAACCUGCCUCAUACAGGGGGAUAACAGUUGGAAAUGGCUGCUAAUACCGCAUAAGCGCACAGAGCUGCAUGGCUCAGUGUGAAAAACUCCGGUGGUAUAAGAUGGACCCGCGUUGGAUUAGCUUGUUGGUGGGGUAACGGCCCACCAAGGCGACGAUCCAUAGCCGGCCUGAGAGGGUGAACGGCCACAUUGGGACUGAGACACGGCCCAG